GCCCCGGUAGCUCAGGCUGGUAGAGCACACGGCUGUUAACCGUGCGGUCGCCGGUUCAAAUCCGGCCUGGGGCG
RNAcentral lists this transfer RNA (74 nucleotides) under Candidatus Woesearchaeota archaeon. RNAcentral describes it as "tRNA-Asn". It matches the Rfam family "tRNA". Rfam says of the family: Transfer RNA (tRNA) molecules are approximately 80 nucleotides in length. Their secondary structure includes four short double-helical elements and three loops (D, anti-codon, and T loops). Lineage: Archaea; Nanobdellati; Candidatus Woesearchaeota. The record is from RNAcentral.